This 343-nucleotide long non-coding RNA is filed under the name Homo sapiens (human). RNAcentral's name for it is "non-protein coding lnc-DDX27-6:1". Lineage: Eukaryota; Metazoa; Chordata; Mammalia; Primates; Hominidae. The record is from RNAcentral.
UGCCUCGAUUGGAAGAAGGGGUGAUAGCAUCAGCUCUAAAAAUAUCUGAAUUGGAAAUCACAACUAUUUACUUUUAUCAAAAAGCAUUUGUUUUUUUCCCUGAAUUUUCACAUUUGUGCUGAUGGUGGACAUUAAUGGUGAUGAAAACAAAGAAGAGACAUGUGAGAUGGUCGGCGGAGAACUGUCCCACAGUCAUUCCUCAAGAGGCCCCCAGCUCAGACUGCGUGUUCAGCAAAGUGUUUUGGGAGUGCUGCUUCCUCUGCCUGGCACGGGAUGACCUCACACUCUCCCUGCCCCUAAGUCCCUUUGCAGUUGCUGCGCGAAUACUCUGAAGAUACCUAGG